Molecule: non-coding RNA, 424 nt
Organism: Phoenix dactylifera (date palm)
Lineage: Eukaryota; Viridiplantae; Streptophyta; Magnoliopsida; Arecales; Arecaceae
Source: RefSeq, a predicted model, not a curated record
CGAGAGCCGACUUCCCACCUCCAUCGAGAGCCGGUGCUUCCCCGCUGCUGUCUUCCUCCUUCCGUUCGCCUAGCCCCCUCUAAAAUUCGGUCGAUGCCCUACUUGUGCGCGCGCCGACUUCCCACCUCCAUCGCGAGCCGGUGCUUCCCCGCUGCCGUCUUCCUCCUUCUCCUCUGAGUGGAACAGGGGGCGAAUCCCGUGUUCGUCCCGAUCGGACGCCGCGUCCCAGCGUCUCGCCCCACAAGCACACAAUCCUCUCUUGUGGACUCCCCCAAGCCCUUGUUCCUUUGGAUAAACAGAGCAGCGCCCUGUUUCUCUCGAUCCUGACUGCGCGACCGCGGCCCCAGCUGCCCUCGCCGCCGCCGGUACUCGUCCGAGAUAGGGUAACAAUAUGCCCCGAGGGAGACGAUUUAGAGAUGUGGAG